This 72-nucleotide transfer RNA is filed under the name Rhipicephalus microplus (southern cattle tick). Its description in RNAcentral is "tRNA-Gln". It matches the Rfam family "tRNA". Rfam says of the family: Transfer RNA (tRNA) molecules are approximately 80 nucleotides in length. The record is from Rfam by way of RNAcentral. Lineage: Eukaryota; Metazoa; Arthropoda; Arachnida; Ixodida; Ixodidae.
GGUCUCAUGGUGUAAUGGUUAGCACUCUAGACUUUGAAUCCAGCGAUCUGAGUUCAAAUCUCGGUGAGACCU